UGUCUUUUUGAAAAUAAUAUAAAGUCUAAUCUGCCCACUGAUUUAUAAUUGAAGGGCUGCAGUAUUUUGACUGUACAAAGGUAGCAUAAUCAUUAGUCAUUUAAUUGAUGACUUGUAUGAAGGAUUGGAUGAGAUAUAAACUGUCUCUUAUUUAUAGUAUAGAAUUUAAUUUUUUAUUUAAAAAGUUAAAAUAUAUUAAAAAGACGAGAAGACCCUAUAGAGUUUUAUAGUUAAAUUUAAUUAGGAUUAUUUGUAUUAUUAAAAUUAAAAUUAAUUUAAUUAUUAUAUUGGGGUGAUAGAAAAAUAUGAAAAACUUUUU
This 319-nucleotide ribosomal RNA is filed under the name Sesamia sp. SEKEG8357. RNAcentral's name for it is "partial 16S large subunit ribosomal RNA". The record is from RNAcentral. Lineage: Eukaryota; Metazoa; Arthropoda; Insecta; Lepidoptera; Noctuidae.